AACAAGUAUAGUUUUACACGGUUCAUAUCCAACGUUUGAUCAUUCAUCUUAUUUUAAAAAUAUUUAUAAUUAAUAUUUUUAUUUUUAUUAAUUGAUAAAAUAUAAAUAAUAUUUUAUGUAUGACUAUUUUUAAAAUUUUUUAUAAAUUUUUAAAUAAAACGGACGAUCUGUUAAAUACGGAUACUCAUAGCUGCAUUUAUU
RNAcentral lists this microRNA precursor (201 nucleotides) under Oryza glumipatula. Its description in RNAcentral is "MIR812 microRNA precursor family". It matches the Rfam family "MIR812 microRNA precursor family". The record is from Rfam by way of RNAcentral. Lineage: Eukaryota; Viridiplantae; Streptophyta; Magnoliopsida; Poales; Poaceae.